CCCUUAGAUGUUCUGGGCCGCACGCGCGCUACACUGACGAAGUCAGCGAGCAUCUCCUUCGCCGAAAGGUGCGGGGAAUCUUGUGAAACUUUGUCGUGCUGGGGAUUGAUUUUUGAAAUUCUUGAUCAUCAACGAGGAAUUCCUAGUAAGCGCAAGUCAGCAGCUUGCGUUGAUUACGUCCCUGCCCUUUGUACACACCGCCCGUCGCACCUACCGAUUGAAUGGUCCGGUGAAAUCUUCGGAUUGAGACUUUGAUUUCUUCACGGAAAACGCUGUUUUAAAAAGUUGAUUAAACCUUACCAUUUAGAGGAAGGUGAAGUCGUAACA
RNAcentral lists this ribosomal RNA (327 nucleotides) under uncultured eukaryote. RNAcentral describes it as "partial 18S ribosomal RNA". It matches the Rfam family "Eukaryotic small subunit ribosomal RNA", at positions 1470 to 1796 of the family's 1831-position model. The record is from RNAcentral.